RNAcentral lists this unclassified non-coding RNA (233 nucleotides) under plant metagenome. RNAcentral describes it as "partial contains small subunit ribosomal RNA, internal transcribed spacer 1, and 5.8S ribosomal RNA". The record is from RNAcentral.
UUUCCGUAGGUGAACCUGCGGAAGGAUCAUUAUGGGAUUUUGAAACUUCAGGCUGCUGCUGGCUCUCCUCGGAGGGCAUGUGCACGCUUGUUGUCCAUUAUUUCUCCCACUGUGCACAAAUUGUAGGCCUUUCAGUAGGCCUAUGUUGUUUUUCACAAUCUCUGAAUGUAAUAGAAUGGUUUUGAAUCUUGGGAAAUACAAUACAACUUUCAGCAACGGAUCUCUUGGUUCUG